GUCCCUGUAGCGCAAUGGAUAGUGCGUUGGACUCCUAAUACAAAGGCCGUGGAUUCUAAUCCCACCUGGAAUG
This is a non-coding RNA of Trichonephila clavipes, 73 nucleotides long. Lineage: Eukaryota; Metazoa; Arthropoda; Arachnida; Araneae; Nephilidae. The record is from the annotation of a GenBank genome assembly.